UAGUUGGAUGGGCUUGGUUAGCAAGUUAAUGAUUUAAACUAUACCCUGUUUUCUUUCCCUCUUGAUUGUAACAAUUAUCUAUUUGAAUUUUUGUUAGUAAAAGUUAAGUUGAUGUUAAUAACAUGUUGAAUUUAUGUCAUGAAUGUUGAAAUGAGUGUGUUAAUUCUCUGUAAAAAAUGGUUGAGUUUAGUUAUUAUGUGAAUAUUAGUGAUGGAUGUUAGUUGGAAAGUGUGAAAAUAUUGAUUGCAAUUCUGAGUUAGUUUGGUUAUUUUAUUAUGAACUUUGAUCCACAAGCUAUUAAUUGGUUUACAAAUGUUAUGAUUUGUUGAAUGGAUAUUAAAACAUGGGAUUAUGUGUUGAUGAGUGUGAUAGUUAGUUUUCAAUUGCUUGAGCUGUUACAGAAGUGAUGUGGGGUUCUGUUAAUGAUUUUAUUUGAAUUGCUUAGAUGUGUAUGUGAAUUAUGAUGUGAUGUAUGGAUGUGAAUGUUAUGUGAAAUUAUGUGAUCAACAUACUAUUGCUUGAUCAAAACUAGGUGACAUGUUGGACUGCUAUCUCUAAGCACGUUUGUUGAUGUUGAUGUUAACUUGACUGGCUGUUGUAAUUGUUUAGUUCAUAGAAUGAUAAAUGGAAAAUGCUAUGAAUUUGGAUGAAUGCACAUGUUGACAUAUUAUGUAUUGAUGAAUUGUACACAUUGAAGAUUUAUUCAUGAAAUGUAUUUGACUUAAUGGUUUAUUGAAUGCAUGUUGCCUUAUGCUUGGAACUGGAUCAUGGCUUCACAAUGUGACAUGGAGGCAUCGUGAUGGAAAAGGCCAAAACAUGGCUUGCUUGCAUAUGAAGCAAGCUUGAAAUUCGAUUCAAAGGAGGAUAUGGGAGAAUGAAGAAUCAAAGAAUGGAAAUUUAGGACUAGGUUUAGAAAAUAAGUGAGUUGAGUUUGGUCAAAGUUGACCAAAAAGUCAACAGUUGACCAAAGUCAAAUAUUGGGCAAAGUUGCCAUUUAUUUUGUAAUUUUUGUAGGAAUGGUGUAUAUGAUAUUGUAUGGAUGUAAUGGACCUUUAUGAAUGCAAAUAGUUCUUAGGAUUUAAUGAAAGGGUCUUAUUUUCAAA
This 1103-nucleotide long non-coding RNA is filed under the name Lathyrus oleraceus (garden pea). RNAcentral describes it as "Pisum sativum (pea) long non-coding RNA (PSAT_LNC004428)". The record is from RNAcentral. Lineage: Eukaryota; Viridiplantae; Streptophyta; Magnoliopsida; Fabales; Fabaceae.